CACGUAGGGGGCGAGCGUUGUCCGGAUUUAUUGGGCGUAAAGAGCUCGUAGGCGGCUUGGUAAGUUGGGUGUGAAAACUCCAGGCUCAACCUGGAGACGCCACCCGAUACUGCCAUGGCUAGAGUCCGGCAGGGGAGCAUGGAAUUCCUGGUGUAGCGGCGGAAUGCGCAGAUAUCAGGAGGAACACCAGUGGCGAAGGCGGCUAUCUGGUUCGAUUCUGACGCUGAGGUACGAAAGCGUGGGGAGCAAACAGG
RNAcentral lists this ribosomal RNA (254 nucleotides) under uncultured bacterium. Its description in RNAcentral is "partial 16S ribosomal RNA". It matches the Rfam family "Bacterial small subunit ribosomal RNA", at positions 524 to 776 of the family's 1533-position model. The record is from RNAcentral.